Molecule: ribosomal RNA, 497 nt
Filed under: uncultured bacterium
Lineage: Bacteria
Description: partial 16S ribosomal RNA
Rfam family: Bacterial small subunit ribosomal RNA
Source: RNAcentral
GAUGAACGCUGGCGGCGUGCCUAAUACAUGCAAGUCGAGCGAACAGACGAGGAGCUUGCUCCUCUGACGUUAGCGGCGGACGGGUGAGUAACACGUGGAUAACCUACCUAUAAGACUGGGAUAACUUCGGGAAACCGGAGCUAAUACCGGAUAAUACAUUGAACCGCAUGGUUCAAUAGUGAAAGACGGUUUUGCUGUCACUUAUAGAUGGAUCCGCGCCGCAUUAGCUAGUUGGUAAGGUAACGGCUUACCAAGGCAACGAUGCGUAGCCGACCUGAGAGGGUGAUCGGCCACACUGGAACUGAGACACGGUCCAGACUCCUACGGGAGGCAGCAGUAGGGAAUCUUCCACAAUGGGCGAAAGCCUGACGGAGCCACGCCGCGUGAGUGAUGAAGGUCUUCGGAUCGUAAAACUCUGUUAUUAGGGAAGAACAAAUGUGUAAGUAACUAUGCACGUCUUGACGGUACCUAAUCAGAAAGCCACGGCUAACUACGUG